UACGAAGGGCGCUAGCGUUGUUCGGAAUCACUGGGCGUAAAGCGCACGUAGGCGGAUGUGUCAGUCAGGGGUGAAAUCCCGGAGCUCAACUUCGGAACUGCCCUUGAUACAGCACAUCUGGAGUCCGGAAGAGGUGGGUGGAAUUCCUAGUGUAGAGGUGAAAUUCGUAGAUAUUAGGAAGAACACCGGUGGCGAAGGCGGCCCACUGGUCCGGUACUGACGCUGAGGUGCGAAAGCGUGGGGAGCAAACAGG
Molecule: ribosomal RNA, 253 nt
Filed under: uncultured bacterium
Lineage: Bacteria
Description: partial 16S ribosomal RNA
Rfam family: Bacterial small subunit ribosomal RNA
Source: RNAcentral